UCAUUCAGGUCGUGCGGCUGUUAUGCUGCCAGGGCGUCCGAGGGGGAAGUCCGGUGCGAAUCCGGCGCUGACCCGCAACGGUGAGCGGAGCCCGUGCUGCCCGUACGGCCCCGCCAGCCCGAUCGCCCCCGGCCGCUGAACUCCCGAC
This 148-nucleotide non-coding RNA is filed under the name Streptomyces rubellomurinus. Lineage: Bacteria; Bacillati; Actinomycetota; Actinomycetes; Kitasatosporales; Streptomycetaceae. The record is from RNAcentral.